RNAcentral lists this transfer RNA (72 nucleotides) under Thrips palmi. Its description in RNAcentral is "tRNA-Phe". It matches the Rfam family "tRNA". From Rfam's summary of the family: Transfer RNA (tRNA) molecules are approximately 80 nucleotides in length. Their secondary structure includes four short double-helical elements and three loops (D, anti-codon, and T loops). The record is from Rfam by way of RNAcentral. Lineage: Eukaryota; Metazoa; Arthropoda; Insecta; Thysanoptera; Thripidae.
GCCGAAAUAGCUCAGUUGGGAGAGCGUUAGACUGAAGAUCUAAAUGUCCCCGGUUCGAUCCCGGUUUCGGCA